AUACGGAGGGGGUUAGCGUUGUUCGGAAUUACUGGGCGUAAAGCGCACGUAGGCGGACUGGAAAGUUGGGGGUGAAAUCCCGGGGCUCAACCCCGGAACUGCCUCCAAAACUUCCAAUCUAGAGAUCGAGAGAGGUGAGUGGAAUUCCAAGUGUAGAGGUGAAAUUCGUAGAUAUUUGGAGGAACACCAGUGGCGAAGGCGGCUCACUGGCUCGAUACUGACGCUGAGGUACGAAAGUGUGGGGAGCAAACGGGAUUAGAAACCCUAGUAGUCC
Molecule: ribosomal RNA, 274 nt
Filed under: uncultured bacterium
Lineage: Bacteria
Description: partial 16S ribosomal RNA
Rfam family: Bacterial small subunit ribosomal RNA
Source: RNAcentral